CGAUUGACCUCGGAUCAGGUAGGGAUACCCGCUGAACUUAAGCAUAUCAAUAAGCGGAGGAAAAGAAACCAACAGGGAUUGCCUCAGUAACGGCGAGUGACGC
RNAcentral lists this ribosomal RNA (103 nucleotides) under Nephroma helveticum. RNAcentral describes it as "partial 28S ribosomal RNA". It matches the Rfam family "Eukaryotic large subunit ribosomal RNA", at positions 1 to 99 of the family's 3401-position model. The record is from RNAcentral. Lineage: Eukaryota; Fungi; Ascomycota; Lecanoromycetes; Peltigerales; Nephromataceae.